GCCGGCUUGGCUCAGUGGCAGAGCGUCGCUCUCGUAAAGCGAAGGUCGGGUGUUCGAUCCUCCCAGCCGGCA
Transfer RNA from Catenaria anguillulae PL171, 72 nucleotides. It matches the Rfam family "tRNA". From Rfam's summary of the family: Transfer RNA (tRNA) molecules are approximately 80 nucleotides in length. Their secondary structure includes four short double-helical elements and three loops (D, anti-codon, and T loops). Further hydrogen bonds mediate the characteristic L-shaped molecular structure. tRNAs have two regions of fundamental functional importance: the anti-codon, which is responsible for specific mRNA codon recognition, and the 3' end, to which the tRNAs corresponding amino acid is attached (by aminoacyl-tRNA synthetases). tRNAs cope with the degeneracy of the genetic code in two manners: having more than one tRNA (with a specific anti-codon) for a particular amino acid; and 'wobble' base-pairing, i.e. permitting non-standard base-pairing at the 3rd anti-codon position. Lineage: Eukaryota; Fungi; Blastocladiomycota; Blastocladiomycetes; Blastocladiales; Catenariaceae. The record is from Rfam.